RNAcentral lists this ribosomal RNA (491 nucleotides) under uncultured bacterium. RNAcentral's name for it is "bacterial SSU rRNA". It matches the Rfam family "Bacterial small subunit ribosomal RNA", at positions 21 to 507 of the family's 1533-position model. The record is from RNAcentral.
GGCUCAGAUUGAACGCUGGCGGCAGGCCUAACACAUGCAAGUCGAGCGGAUGAAGAGAGCUUGCUCUCUGAUUCAGCGGCGGACGGGUGAGUAAUGCCUAGGAAUCUGCCUGAUAGUGGGGGACAACGUUUCGAAAGGAACGCUAAUACCGCAUACGUCCUACGGGAGAAAGCAGGGGACCUUCGGGCCUUGCGCUAUCAGAUGAGCCUAGGUCGGAUUAGCUAGUAGGUGAGGUAAUGGCUCACCUAGGCGACGAUCCGUAACUGGUCUGAGAGGAUGAUCAGUCACACUGGAACUGAGACACGGUCCAGACUCCUACGGGAGGCAGCAGUGGGGAAUAUUGGACAAUGGGCGAAAGCCUGAUCCAGCCAUGCCGCGUGUGUGAAGAAGGUCUUCGGAUUGUAAAGCACUUUAAGUUGGGAGGAAGGGCAGUAAGUUAAUACCUUGCUGUUUUGACGUUACCGACAGAAUAAGCACCGGCUAACUUCGUG